UGCCCUCCAGAUUGGAUGACAGAGUGAGACUCUAUCUCAAAAGAAAAAAAAAAAAAAAAAGAAAAUCCAUUCAGAGAUGAAUUGGCUUCUUUGUUACAGGCUGUGUUGGCCCUGCCUCUGAGGUCAGUGCAUGCAGAAAGCCCUCACUGCUGUGGUGUGGGAGGGUAAUGAGUACAGAUGUUGAGGGCAGGAGGUGGGCAAGCAGUCAUUAACAUACAGGGUAUCAUACUAUAUAUCAAGAUAUAUACCCCCAGCCUGGGCAACAUGGCAAAACCCCAUCUCUACAAUAAAAGUAAAUACAAAAAUUAGACAGGCAUGGAGGUGUGCACCUGUGGGCCCAGCUACUCAGGAGGCUGAGGUGAGAGGAUCGCUUGAGCCCAAAAGCUUGAGGCUGCAGUGAGCUGAGAUCAUGCCAUUGCACUUCCACCUAGGCAACAGAGCAAAACCCUGUCUCAAAAAAAGAUAAAAAAAAGACAUAUCCCUGCUACCUGUGCCUGCAUAUGGAUAGGAAAUAUAUGUGCCCCAUGUAUGAGUGCACAUAUGCAUCCUUUGUGGGUGCCCCCAUGUGUGUCUGUCCCAAAUGCAUGUGUCCCUAUACCUGUGCAUCUUCAGGCCUGCAUGUGUAUAUGAACCUAUACACACAUGCACCUACAUAUGGUGCUGCCGAAGACAUCACGUGCAUUUGGUAUGUGCCUUUGGUAAGCACCAAAUCAGUGCUUCAUGCAAAUCCCUGUGCCUCACGUCUUCAGCCUUUGCCUAUCAAACUGGGCUCCAGUGCACUUAGGAAGACCCACCAGAAGGUCUGUCUUAACCCUUCUUCCAGUUCUCAUAUUGGCAGCUCCCUUGGUCCUGUUCACUUAUUGCCUUUUCCUGCCAUCAGCCCCGCCCAUUUGGCCUCCUUCUACUCAGGGAACUAGACAUUCCUCUUUGUUAUGGUCUUGCUACAUUCAGGUCCUGGCCUGCUUUUAGAGCUAUGGAGAGACACCAAGUGUGUGGACAGGGUAAUCUCUGCUUCUGCUACUGUGGAGAAGAAAACCCCUCCACUAGCUCCCAGUAGCUCAGGGAUAAGCAUGUAGUAGGUGCUCGAUAAAUGUACCCUGGCCAACCGCCCAAGGCUGGAAUCCUCUCAAGAGCCUUCCUGGUAACACCCCCACACCCCCAAAAAAAGCCUAGUUGUGGGAUUAGCGCAAUCAUAGGAAGCUCAUUUCAAUCCUUUUCUGUUUUAAAUGUUAGAAAUAUCCUCCUUCCAUUGACUCACAUUGUGGCUUCUAGCAGCCUUACCGACAAGCCUUGGUUCUGCCUUCCAGAGCCCUGCACAUCAGAUCCCCCAGCUGCAGCCUCUGCAUUUCUCUCCUUGGACAUCUGUCCACUCAGCAGCCUACCUAUGGCUGUUACCUAUGAUUCUGUCUCAGUUAUGUCCUCUGUCUGCCUG
Molecule: long non-coding RNA, 1432 nt
Organism: Sapajus apella (tufted capuchin)
Lineage: Eukaryota; Metazoa; Chordata; Mammalia; Primates; Cebidae
Exons: 2
Source: RefSeq, a predicted model, not a curated record